GUAGGGAAUAUUGGACAAUGGGCGAAAGCCUGAUCCAGCCAUGCCGCGUGAUAGAUGAAGGCCCUCUGGGUUGUAAAUAUCUUUUAUCUGGGAAGAAACUCCUCUAUUCUUAGAGGCCUGACGGUACCAGAGGAAUAAGCACCGGCUAACUCCGUGCCAGCAGCCGCGGUAAUACGGAGGGUGCAAGCGUUAUCCGGAUUCACUGGGUUUAAAGGGUGCGUAGGCGGGUUGAUAAGUCAGUGGUGAAAGCUCCGGGCUUAACUUGGAAACUGCCAUUGAUACUGUCAAUCUUGAAUGUCGUAGAGGUAAGCGGAAUGUUGAAUGUAGCGGUGAAAUGCUUAGAUAUGUUACAGAACACCAAUUGCGAAGGCAGCUUACUAUGCGAUAAUUGACGCUGAGGCACGAAAGCGUGGGGAGCAAACAGGAUUAGAAACCCUAGUAGUCC
This 445-nucleotide ribosomal RNA is filed under the name uncultured bacterium. RNAcentral's name for it is "partial 16S ribosomal RNA". It matches the Rfam family "Bacterial small subunit ribosomal RNA", at positions 354 to 796 of the family's 1533-position model. The record is from RNAcentral.